UUUAAUAUGGCAGAUAAAAUGCAAAGGAUUUAAAUUCCUUAUGUAAAAAGAUUAACUCUUUUAUUAAAA
This 69-nucleotide transfer RNA is filed under the name Tetramorium wroughtonii. RNAcentral's name for it is "tRNA-Leu". Lineage: Eukaryota; Metazoa; Arthropoda; Insecta; Hymenoptera; Formicidae. The record is from RNAcentral.